RNAcentral lists this ribosomal RNA (497 nucleotides) under uncultured bacterium. Its description in RNAcentral is "partial 16S ribosomal RNA". It matches the Rfam family "Bacterial small subunit ribosomal RNA", at positions 28 to 507 of the family's 1533-position model. The record is from RNAcentral.
GAUGAACGCUGGCGGCGUGCCUAAUACAUGCAAGUCGAGCGAACAGACGAGGAGCUUGCUCCUCUGACGUUAGCGGCGGACGGGUGAGUAACACGUGGAUAACCUACCUAUAAUUCUGGGAUAACUUCGGGAAACCGGAUCAAAUACCGGAUAAUAUAUUGAACCGCAUGGUUCAAUAGUGAGAGACGGUUUUUGGGUCACUUAUAGAUGGAUCCGCGCCGCAUUAGAUAGUUGGUAAUGUAACGGCUUACGAAGGCAACGAGGGGUAGCCGACCUGAGUGGGUGGUCGCCCACCCUGGAGCUGAGACACCCUCCAGACUCCUAAGGGAGGCAGCAGUCGCGAAUCUUCCGCAAUGGGCGAAAGCCUGACGGAGCAACGCCGCGUGAGUGAUGAAGGUCUUCGGUUCGGAAAACUCUGUUAUUAGGGAAGAACAAAUGUGUAAGUAACUAUGCUCGUCUUGACGGUACCUAAUCAGAAAGCAACGGCUAACUACGUG